GGACACAAGCUUGAAGAAGUGAUAUAAACUCACCUUGGCAUCUUGAUUUCAACGAGGUCAGUGUAAAUUAUCACUGCUGAACAAACAGACUGCAUUAAUGUCUAGACAUUGUGGGAGUCCCAUGUCAACUCAGUGGAACGGUAUAGCUGUGACGAAUCCUGGGGAGUCUGGGCAGCAUUGCCAACCUGGAAGCUUUGGCUAAUUUCCUGAACUUUUCUGUGCAGAAACAAUAGUGAUGCAUCAUAGCAGAAGUAAAAGGAAGAGAAAAUAACAGACUCCAGAUCAGCAUUGUCUCUACUGACUCAGACCUGGGGAGGCAAAUCUAUUGAGUUGCCACUCUUCUCUUUUAUAAAAAUAUGAGCAUUUGCCUUAUAAGA
Heterocephalus glaber (naked mole-rat) is the source of this 377-nucleotide non-coding RNA. The record is from RefSeq and is a predicted model, not a curated record. Lineage: Eukaryota; Metazoa; Chordata; Mammalia; Rodentia; Bathyergidae.